CCCACAAACCGCACAAUCAUUACCCCAGACAAAAGGCUGUAAGCCCACAGGCGGUGAGUUCGUUGGGCAACGAAUCUUCAUCAAUCUCUACCAAUUUUUGCGUGAAAGGUUGAGACUUAUUUCUUGGCAAGACUUCCACCUGCCUGCUGGUUACGUCCUUUUACAUGCUUGGCACCAACGCCUUCCCACAUGAUUUACCAAGAGAGAGAAACCAUUUAAUACACGGAAACAAAGGAGGUAUCGUUAGAGCUGAGCAAAUAAUCAAAAUUCAAAAAAAUUUAUUCA
RNAcentral lists this long non-coding RNA (285 nucleotides) under Elaeis guineensis (African oil palm). RNAcentral's name for it is "long non-coding RNA (EGUI_LNC075598)". The record is from RNAcentral. Lineage: Eukaryota; Viridiplantae; Streptophyta; Magnoliopsida; Arecales; Arecaceae.